RNAcentral lists this ribosomal RNA (426 nucleotides) under uncultured bacterium. RNAcentral's name for it is "bacterial SSU rRNA". It matches the Rfam family "Bacterial small subunit ribosomal RNA", at positions 354 to 796 of the family's 1533-position model. The record is from RNAcentral.
GUGAGGAAUUUUCCGCAAUGGGCGAAAGCCUGACGGAGCAAUGCCGCGUGAAGGAUGAAGGCCUAUGGGUUGUAAACUUCUUUUCUCAGAAAAGAAUUAUGACGGUAUCUGAGGAAUAAGCAUCGGCUAACUCUGUGCCAGCAGCCGCGGUAAGACAGAGGAUGCAAGCGUUAUCCGGAAUGAUUGGGCGUAAAGCGUCUGUAGGUUGUUUAAAAAGUAUUCUGUCAAAGAUUAGGGCUUAACCCUAGAUAGGAAGAAUAAACUUUUAAGCUAGAGUUUGGUAGAGGCAGAGGGAAUUCCCGGUGGAGCGGUGAAAUGCGUAGAUAUCGGGAGGAACACCAAAGGCGAAGGCACUCUGCUGGGCCAAUACUAACACUGAGAGACGAAAGCGAGGGGAGCAAAUGGGAUUAGAUACCCCGGUAGUCC